UACGUAGGGCGCAAGCGUUGUCCGGAAUUAUUGGGCGUAAAGAGCUCGUAGGCGGCUUGUCACGUCGGGUGUGAAAGCCCGGGGCUUAACCCCGGGUCUGCAUUCGAUACGGGCUAGCUAGAGUGUGGUAGGGGAGACUGGAAUUGCUGGUGUAGCGGUGAAAUGCGUAGAGAUCAGCAGGAACACCCGUGGCGAAGGCGGCCCCCUGGGCCGUACCUGACGCUGAGGCGCGAAGGCUAGGGGAGCGAACGGG
Molecule: ribosomal RNA, 253 nt
Filed under: uncultured bacterium
Lineage: Bacteria
Description: partial 16S ribosomal RNA
Rfam family: Bacterial small subunit ribosomal RNA
Source: RNAcentral